RNAcentral lists this ribosomal RNA (777 nucleotides) under uncultured bacterium. Its description in RNAcentral is "bacterial SSU rRNA". It matches the Rfam family "Bacterial small subunit ribosomal RNA", at positions 8 to 796 of the family's 1533-position model. The record is from RNAcentral.
AGAGUUUGAUCCUGGCUCAGGACGAACGCUGGCGGCGUGCUUAACACAUGCAAGUCGAACGGUGACGAAGGAGCUUGCUCCUUCUGAUCAGUGGCGAACGGGUGAGUAACACGUGAGCAAUCUGCCCCUGACUCUGGGAUAACUUCGGGAAACCGUAGCUAAUACCGGAUGCGACGCGCGAAGGCAUCUUCUGCGCGUGGAAAGAAUUUCGGUCAGGGAUGAGCUCGCGGCCUAUCAGCUAGUUGGUGAGGUAAUGGCUCACCAAGGCGACGACGGGUAGCCGGCCUGAGAGGGUGACCGGCCACACUGGGACUGAGACACGGCCCAGACUCCUACGGGAGGCAGCAGUGGGGAAUAUUGCACAAUGGGCGCAAGCCUGAUGCAGCAACGCCGCGUGAGGGACGACGGCCUUCGGGUUGUAAACCUCUUUUGGCAGGGAAGAAGCGAAAGUGACGGUACCUGCAGAAAAAGCACCGGCUAACUACGUGCCAGCAGCCGCGGUAAUACGUAGGGUGCAAGCGUUGUCCGGAAUUAUUGGGCGUAAAGAGCUCGUAGGCGGUUUGUCACGUCUGCUGUGAAAACGCGAGGCUCAACCUCGCGCCUGCAGUGGGUACGGGCAGACUAGAGUGCGGUAGGGGAGAUUGGAAUUCCUGGUGUAGCGGUGGAAUGCGCAGAUAUCAGGAGGAACACCGAUGGCGAAGGCAGAUCUCUGGGCCGUAACUGACGCUGAGGAGCGAAAGCGUGGGGAGCGAACAGGAUUAGAUACCCUAGUAGUCC